Molecule: long non-coding RNA, 2156 nt
Filed under: Oryza brachyantha (malo sina)
Lineage: Eukaryota; Viridiplantae; Streptophyta; Magnoliopsida; Poales; Poaceae
Description: long non-coding RNA (OBRA_LNC000462)
Source: RNAcentral
UAUUUCAGGUUAAACAUAUAUACAUCAAUACUGUAGAAUCCAUACCGAGAUAACAAAUUAAUGUGCAACAAUUAUGUUUCAUCUAGGAUAGCAAUAUAUACAUGCGUCUACAUAGAGCCUAUGCAUAUAAGAGUACAGAUAAUUCUUAUCAUUCAUCAAAUUUAAGGCAUAACUUCUCAACAAAAGUUCAUCGAAUUGUAUUGAACGACAUCUUCAAUUGACAAAAUUGAUUGCAACCCACAUCAGUAGACAAAAUUUCAAUGGACAAGUGACAUCUUUAGCAGGUCUUCAUUUAUAGGACGAAUGAUCUCUUUAGCAGAUCAUCCUUCAAAGAUAACUUCAGCAAAAGAAUCUUCAAUGGACAAUUUCUAGGACAAGUGACAUCUUUAGCGGAACAAUUUCAGUAGCCCUUCCGGUUAUGACCUAAAAAUAAUGAUUUGGAAUCUAUGAGCAAUCUUGCAUAUAGAAUAUAGAGAACUAUGUUUUCAUCUAUCAUAAUAUAAAUUCUUUGACCCCUUGUAUGUAUUCAGAUGUGUGCCUAUAGUUUUUUUAAUGAAAGUUUAGAGAGAUGAGUGAAUGAAAAAACACAUUACGCCAAAUUAAUUAUCAGGAAGAAUUGUACUAGGAAAUUCCAUCCAUCUCUUAUCCAUAGCUGAUAUUGACAAUCAAAUUUCAAAGGUCACAUAAAUUAUUCUGUGUUUCAAUGGUGUUUUGUGCACGUCAAGUACAAACCAUUGUGCUCAAGGGAAAAAGUAUAAAAACACAUUGCACAAGACAAACAUAAUACAUAGAUAUAACAUUUCAACAUUUAAGCAUAGUAGUGAUGGCAAGCUAGAUGAUACUGACUGUGGUAAAAUGUUUUUUUAGAUCUCCUAUUGGGUAGAUGCUUAGCAACGUAGGUUGAUUCCAGCAAAAUUGAUAGUGGACCACUAAAUUGGACCAUAAAGCAAAAUAGUUCACAUUUAGAUACAAAUUAUAAUGUUGACUUAAAAUUAAAUACUUACGUUAGUAAUUUCAAGAAAAUCCCAAGAUAUCAAUCUAGGUACAGAGUGCUAGAACAUUUAAGGGGCUGCCCAUUUCAAGUAUUUUGCACUAAUGCUUCCGGAGUCAUUUCUGCCAUGAUGCACAUAUUUAGGGAGUGAAGAUGAAUUCUCAAAAUUCUAAAGGUCUCGGAAUUUAGGUGAAGACUUAAUAACAUAGAUGGCUCUAAAAAAAUUCACGUGAAAUCUUUGUAUUAUUGUAUCUCUGAAUUAUGUUCAUGUAUGUAGAUACAUAUUCAGACCAAGAAGUUGCCAAAGAGCAUCCCAUGGUUCACUGUUUCGUAUCAAGACAUGUGGUAAAAUUAGUGAGAUGCAACCCAAUCUGACCGGUGCUAAAAUUAGUGAUGUGGUAACAUGCAGACUAAUUCAGGUUAAUCAUAGGCCAACCAGACUUGUCAGUCAACAAGUAUGUAAUAUGACAUGUCAAAAAACAUGCAGUGUUAAGGGAUUACUGUUUAUCAUCUCAAACAACAACAUGGUUACCUCUUUGAUUUAAGAUUCAUGGUUACCUCCCUUGUCUCUCCCAAUUCUAACACUCUAAACACUCUCUGAUUACAAUCAGUGCAGAAUUUGUUGAAGUACAGAACAAGCAAGUUUCAUGGUCACUUAGUUACCCUAGACUUCUAAGUAAUAAUUAAUGGCUACAAAUUCCCCUCCAAAUCCAUCACACAAGCACCAAUAUGCAGAAUUGUAAAAAGAAAAAAAACACACAUGUAUAACCAGGAGAUUGAUUCUUACAAGGGGACUUGAAGAGGAGGCAGAGGUAGGCCAGCCGAUCUGUGGAGGCGGGGGGGGGGGGGGUAAAAAGAAAAAAAACACACAUGUAUAACCAGGAGAUUGAUUCUUACAAGGGGACUUGAAGAGGAGGCAGAGGUAGGCCAGCCGAUCUGUGGAGGCGUGUGGAGGUGGCACAUAUGCGUGGAGGAGGCUAGGCGUAGAUCAGUGCAGGCAGCGCGAAUGGGUGGAGGUGGCAUGGAUGGGUGGAGGCAGUGCAGACGGUGGGAGGAGGGCGCAGAUCGGUGGGAGGCGGCACAGAUCGGCAGGAGGAGGGCGCAACGGAGGAGGACCUUGGCGGCUUAUUUUCAACGGAUCAAUUAUUCUCAGCACAGAUCGGCA